RNAcentral lists this ribosomal RNA (301 nucleotides) under uncultured bacterium. Its description in RNAcentral is "partial 16S ribosomal RNA". It matches the Rfam family "Bacterial small subunit ribosomal RNA", at positions 509 to 807 of the family's 1533-position model. The record is from RNAcentral.
CAGUCGCCGCGGGAAUACGGAGGGUGCAAGCGUUAAUCGGAAUUACUGGGCGUAAAGCGUGCGUAGGCGGUUCGUUAAGUCUGUUGUGAAAGCCCCGGGCUCAACCUGGGAAUGGCAAUGGAUACUGGCGAGCUAGAGUGUGUCAGAGGAUGGUGGAAUUCCCGGUGUAGCGGUGAAAUGCGUAGAGAUCGAGAGGAACAUCAGUGGCGAAGGCGGCCAUCUGGGACAACACUGACGCUGAGGCACGAAAGCGUGGGGAGCAAACAGGAUUAGAUACCCCAGUAGUCCCUGUCUCUUAUAC